UGGCUAAUGAUGAUAAAUCUUAUCUUAGCGGAUUUCUCUGAGAUCAUUCUUGUAAUGAUCAGAGAUGAAAUAUUUGUUACACACUCUGAAGCCA
Molecule: small nucleolar RNA, 94 nt
Organism: Cryptomeria japonica (Japanese cedar)
Lineage: Eukaryota; Viridiplantae; Streptophyta; Pinopsida; Cupressales; Cupressaceae
Product: small nucleolar RNA R11/Z151
Exons: 1
Source: RefSeq, a predicted model, not a curated record